UACGAAGGGGGCUAGCGUUGCUCGGAAUUACUGGGCGUAAAGGGAGCGUAGGCGGAUAGUUUAGUCAGAGGUGAAAGCCCAGGGCUCAACCUUGGAAUUGCCUUUGAUACUGGCUAUCUUGAGUACGGAAGAGGUAUGUGGAACUCCGAGUGUAGAGGUGAAAUUCGUAGAUAUCGAGGAAGAACACCCGUGGCGGAAGGCGGCUCCUCUGGGACGGUACUGACGCUGAGACGCGAAAGCGUGGGGAGCGAACAGG
This 256-nucleotide ribosomal RNA is filed under the name uncultured bacterium. RNAcentral's name for it is "partial 16S ribosomal RNA". It matches the Rfam family "Bacterial small subunit ribosomal RNA", at positions 524 to 776 of the family's 1533-position model. The record is from RNAcentral.